CAAUCAUGCAGAUUUUUGGCUUGCUGUGAUUCCAGACCUCACCUCACCUUGCUUUCUGAUCUCCAGUCUCCCAUUUCAGCUGCCUCUGACCUUGAGUCUUGCCUCCUGAUUCCAGCCUGGUAAUUACCUCUGAUCACUGACCCCAGCUGACUCUGACUCCUGCCUAUUGAUCCUGUUUAUAGUGAUUAUUCUGAUUUCUGCUUACUGACUGCAGCCUUGUGACUUGUGGACACCAACCUAGCUGUGACUGUUAGGCCAGAUUGCCUAAGCCCUGGUCCCUUAUGAGUAACCUGACAUUAUGCCUGACAGAGCUAAAGGACUGGCCCAAAGUUUGUUGGGAAAUUAUUGAUGAACUGAAUUGCUGAACUGGGACUUCAGUGAGAACAAGAGACCUGCAGAGACUCAAUCCUACUCCUAUUGAACUGUACGGCAAAACUCCCACUAAUGUCAAGAAUGGAAGACGUUUCAGAGUCAUGAAACUCCUCCCAAAUUGAAAAAUCCAGUUCCCAAACAGCUCUAGAAAUCAUGAAUGCAUGUGAUGUAUUGAAUUAUUUUACCUAAAACAUAUUGCAAAUUUCUGUUAUCUUAGAAGCUGUUAAAUUUAUUGGUUCUAAAAUUAACUUUUACAUAUUAUCAAUAUUAAUUAGACCAGCCAGACUGUGCUGACAAGGAUUAGUGUUUAAAGUCACUGAAGUCAACAGGAGCUGAGAGUAACUCAGCACAUCUGAAAAUCCAGCCUGAGAUUUCUCCAGUUGGGCACCAGGGCUAGAUUAAUGCAAGGGUUGUAGGGGCUACAGCCCAGGCCCUCAGGCAAAGGGGGACCCCGCAAAAAUAAAUCCAUAAUUGUAUACAAUUCAGUGGUCACCUACCCGUCGAUCACGAUCGACUGAUCCUGGAGCCUCUCCCAGUCGAUCGCGAUCUCCAGGCCGCUAAAAGUCCAGCGGCACAGCAGGGCUCAGGCAGGCUGCCUGCCUGCAUGCCAUGGCCCCAUGCCGCUCCCAGAAG
Molecule: long non-coding RNA, 1005 nt
Organism: Chelonia mydas (Green sea turtle)
Lineage: Eukaryota; Metazoa; Chordata; Testudines; Cheloniidae
Exons: 4
Source: RefSeq, a predicted model, not a curated record